GACUUUACCUGCGUACGGAAUUGUAAAAAAUAUUCCCUGGUUCUUUUGCAGACUGGAAAGCGGGCCAGGAGCCCUUCGCCUGCAGGGGCCAGCGAGAGGCCUGCUGAGCGCAGGAGCAGGGCCGAUGAGAAUGAGACGGAGGAGAGGGGUGUGGGUGCGGGGGUCCUGCCGACUCCCCAUUUGCGUGGUAGGAGCGGCAGCAGCAGCAGCAGCAGCAGCGGCAGGAUGAGCAGGAGCCGCAGGAGCAGCAGUAGCAGCAGUGGGAGGAGCGGCAGAGGGAGCAGUAGUCGCAGCAGCAGCAGCAGCAGCAGCAGCAGCAGCAGCAGCAGCAGCAGCAGCAGCAGCAGCAGCAGCUGCAGCAGCUGCCACCGGCGAGCCCAGAAAAUGGUGAAAAUGGUUGAUGCCUCCACCCAGACGAAGGAGGGACCGUGGGAGUGCCACGCGGUCGUCGCCGGCACGAGUCAGGACGACGAUGUCGUCGAUUUAAGUGUCAAACCGGUCGAUUUGACAUCGCAUCCGGUGGCGGACGACGCCGAGCCGCUUCAGGAGGAGAUGCGUGCCCCCUCUCCUCCCUCUGAUGAUACGCCGCCCAACAGCCCUCUCGACCUCUCGGAGGCUGUCGAGCAGCGCCCCCAGGAGGAGGCCCCCACCGAACCUCCCCGUCAUGUACCAGAUUGUGAUCCUACGAAGAGGGUGUUGACGCGCCCGCUGCUGCCCCAAGCGGCACCGAGGCCCCGCGGUGCGCUGGUGCAGGGAUACCAUCAAAACCCAGCGGCGAGAGCGUCAACAUCAGGUCCACGACGUGCCGGGCCACGGCCGCACCGCCCCAGUGGCCCAGCCAUGCCCCUGCGGCCUGUACAACAAAGGGAAGUGGUGAUGGUCGAGCCUCAUCACUUCCCGAACAAGCCAAAGGGCUGCCGGGCGAGAACAAAAAAUAAGCGCGAAAAAGAAAAUGU
Long non-coding RNA from Frankliniella occidentalis (western flower thrips), 956 nucleotides. RefSeq lists it as uncharacterized. NCBI's taxonomy places the organism in Eukaryota, Metazoa, Arthropoda, Insecta, Thysanoptera, Thripidae. The transcript is spliced from 3 exons. The record is from RefSeq and is a predicted model, not a curated record.